This 63-nucleotide transfer RNA is filed under the name Neoseiulus californicus. RNAcentral's name for it is "tRNA-Arg". Lineage: Eukaryota; Metazoa; Arthropoda; Arachnida; Mesostigmata; Phytoseiidae. The record is from RNAcentral.
UUUAAAAAAUCAAAUUAUUUUGUGAUUGUUUUCGACACAAUUUUAGGCUUAAGUCUUUUAAAU